This 1530-nucleotide ribosomal RNA is filed under the name Pseudomonas proteolytica. Its description in RNAcentral is "partial 23S ribosomal RNA". It matches the Rfam family "Bacterial large subunit ribosomal RNA", at positions 1 to 1577 of the family's 2925-position model. The record is from RNAcentral. Lineage: Bacteria; Pseudomonadati; Pseudomonadota; Gammaproteobacteria; Pseudomonadales; Pseudomonadaceae.
GUUAUAUGGUCAAGUGAAGAAGCGCAUACGGUGGAUGCCUUGGCAGUCAGAGGCGAUGAAAGACGUGGUAGCCUGCGAAAAGCUUCGGGGAGUCGGCAAACAGACUUUGAUCCGGAGAUGUCUGAAUGGGGGAACCCAGCCAUCAUAAGAUGGUUAUCUUACGCUGAAUACAUAGGCGUAAGAGGCGAACCAGGGGAACUGAAACAUCUAAGUACCCUGAGGAAAAGAAAUCAACCGAGAUUCCCUUAGUAGUGGCGAGCGAACGGGGACUAGCCCUUAAGUGGCUUUGAGAUUAGCGGAACGCUCUGGAAAGUGCGGCCAUAGUGGGUGAUAGCCCUGUACGCGAAAAUCUCUUAGUCAUGAAAUCGAGUAGGACGGAGCACGAGAAACUUUGUCUGAAUAUGGGGGGACCAUCCUCCAAGGCUAAAUACUACUGACUGACCGAUAGUGAACUAGUACCGUGAGGGAAAGGCGAAAAGAACCCCGGAGAGGGGAGUGAAAUAGAUCCUGAAACCGUAUGCGUACAAGCAGUGGGAGCCCACUUUGUUGGGUGACUGCGUACCUUUUGUAUAAUGGGUCAGCGACUUAUUUUCAGUGGCGAGCUUAACCGAAUAGGGGAGGCGUAGCGAAAGCGAGUCUUAAUAGGGCGUCUAGUCGCUGGGAAUAGACCCGAAACCGGGCGAUCUAUCCAUGGGCAGGUUGAAGGUUGGGUAACACUAACUGGAGGACCGAACCGACUACCGUUGAAAAGUUAGCGGAUGACCUGUGGAUCGGAGUGAAAGGCUAAUCAAGCUCGGAGAUAGCUGGUUCUCCUCGAAAGCUAUUUAGGUAGCGCCUCAUGUAUCACUGUAGGGGGUAGAGCACUGUUUCGGCUAGGGGGUCAUCCCGACUUACCAAACCGAUGCAAACUCCGAAUACCUACAAGUGCCGAGCAUGGGAGACACACGGCGGGUGCUAACGUCCGUCGUGAAAAGGGAAACAACCCAGACCGUCAGCUAAGGUCCCAAAGUUAUGGUUAAGUGGGAAACGAUGUGGGAAGGCUUAGACAGCUAGGAGGUUGGCUUAGAAGCAGCCACCCUUUAAAGAAAGCGUAAUAGCUCACUAGUCGAGUCGGCCUGCGCGGAAGAUGUAACGGGGCUCAAACCAUACACCGAAGCUACGGGUAUCAUCUUCGGAUGAUGCGGUAGAGGAGCGUUCUGUAAGCCUGUGAAGGUGAGUUGAGAAGCUUGCUGGAGGUAUCAGAAGUGCGAAUGCUGACAUGAGUAACGACAAUGGGUGUGAAAAACACCCACGCCGAAAGACCAAGGUUUCCUGCGCAACGUUAAUCGACGCAGGGUUAGUCGGUCCCUAAGGCGAGGCUGAAAAGCGUAGUCGAUGGAAAACAGGUUAAUAUUCCUGUACUUCUGGUUAUUGCGAUGGAGGGACGGAGAAGGCUAGGCCAGCUUGGCGUUGGUUGUCCAAGUUUAAGGUGGUAGGCUGGAAUCUUAGGUAAAUCCGGGAUUCUAAGGCCGAGAGCUGAUGACGAGUUAC